AGAGUUUGAUCCUGGCUCAGAUUGAACGCUGGCGGCAGGCCUAACACAUGCAAGUCGAGCGGAUGAGGGUAGCUUGCUACCUGAUUCAGCGGCGGACGGGUGAGUAAUGCCUAGGAAUCUGCCCGAUAGUGGGGGACAACGUUUCGAAAGGAACGCUAAUACCGCAUACGUCCUACGGGAGAAAGCAGGGGACCUUCGGGCCUUGCGCUAUCGGAUGAGCCUAGGUCGGAUUAGCUAGUUGGUGGGGUAAAGGCUCACCAAGGCGACGAUCCGUAACUGGUCUGAGAGGAUGAUCAGUCACACUGGAACUGAGACACGGUCCAGACUCCUACGGGAGGCAGCAGUGGGGAAUUUUGCGCAAUGGGGGAAACCCUGACGCAGCAACGCCGCGUGAGUGAUGAAGGCUUUCGGGUCGUAAAGCUCUGUCGGAGGGGAAGAAAUGGAAACGGUUAAUACCCGUUUUCUUGACGGUACCCUCAAAGGAAGCACCGGCUAACUCCGUGCCAGCAGCCGCGGUAA
RNAcentral lists this ribosomal RNA (519 nucleotides) under uncultured bacterium. RNAcentral's name for it is "bacterial SSU rRNA". It matches the Rfam family "Bacterial small subunit ribosomal RNA", at positions 8 to 523 of the family's 1533-position model. The record is from RNAcentral.